This 375-nucleotide ribosomal RNA is filed under the name uncultured organism. RNAcentral's name for it is "bacterial SSU rRNA". It matches the Rfam family "Bacterial small subunit ribosomal RNA", at positions 526 to 896 of the family's 1533-position model. The record is from RNAcentral.
CGAACCGUGCGAACGUUAUUCGGAAUCAUUGGGCUUAAAGGGCGCGUAGGCGGCGGUGUAAGUUGGAAGUGAAAUCCCAUCGGCUCAACCGUGGAAUUGCUCCCAGUACUGCAUCGCUCGAGGGGGAUAGGGGUUUGCGGAACUACCGGUGGAGCGGUGAAAUGCGUUGAUAUCGGUGGGAACACCAGUGGCGAAAGCGGCAAACUUGACCCUUCCUGACGCUGAGUGCGCGAAAGCUAGGGGAGCAAACGGGAUUAGAUACCCCGGUAGUCAUAGCCUUAAACGUUGGGUACUGAGUUGAAAGGGGACCGAUACCCCCUUCUGCUGGAGCGAAAGUGUUAAGUACCCCGCCUGGGGAGUAUGGUCGCAAGGCUG